This 435-nucleotide ribosomal RNA is filed under the name uncultured bacterium. Its description in RNAcentral is "partial 16S ribosomal RNA". It matches the Rfam family "Bacterial small subunit ribosomal RNA", at positions 28 to 507 of the family's 1533-position model. The record is from RNAcentral.
GAUGAACGCUGGCGGUAUGCUUAACACAUGCAAGUCGAACGGACUCUUCGGAGUUAGUGGCGGACGGGUGAGUAACGCGUGAGAAUCUGGCUUUGGGUUCGGGACAACCACUGGAAACGGUGGCUAAUACCGGAUGUGCCGAGAGGUAAAAGAGAAAUUGCCUGAAGAUGAGCUCGCGUCUGAUUAGCUAGUUGGUGAGGUAAAGGCUCACCAAGGCAGCGAUCAGUAGCUGGUCUGAGAGGAUGACCAGCCACACUGGGACUGAGACACGGCCCAGACUCCUACGGGAGGGAGCAGUGGGGAAUUUUCCGCAAUGGGCGAAAGUCUGACGGAGCAAUACCGCGUGAGGGAAGAAGGCUCUUGGGUUGUAAACCUCUUUUCUUAGGGAAGAACAAAAUGACGGUACCUAAGGAAUCAGCAUCGGCUAACUCCGUG